This is a long non-coding RNA of Daucus carota subsp. sativus, 826 nucleotides long. RefSeq lists it as uncharacterized. The transcript is spliced from 5 exons. The record is from RefSeq and is a predicted model, not a curated record. Lineage: Eukaryota; Viridiplantae; Streptophyta; Magnoliopsida; Apiales; Apiaceae.
AUUUUCAUUUCCCCCCUUUACUUCUCAACCAAAAUUUUAAUUCCCUCUUCCUCUUAUCCAAAUCCUUUCGGAGAAAACUCAUAACUCUCUUCCUGUUUUUCAAUAUCAAAACUCUAUCUCUUGUAAAGCUCCCUGUGGUGUGUUUUCUCUUGAAAGGCCAGAAAAGCACAAACACCUCCGUCGAUUGUAAACACCUCUGAUUUACACCUGCUAUAGGGUUCAACUUUGGGGCUUUCAUCUUCCAGAGUGCUUCAUGCAUAUGAAAACUUCAAAUUAGGAUGCUACAACAGGAAUUACAAGAUGAAGAUUAGAGAAUGCACAAAUUUCAGGAUAAAACAGCCUUAAUAGAUCAGUUCCCGUCUUUAUAAAAGGUUAUUUCAUAGAUAUAGUCAUGUGGCAUGAUCAGAUUCUGACCUGCUUGACCAAUAAGCACUGGCUAGCAUCUAUAUCAUCCGAUGGUACAAACAAGGUUCGAAUCAGUCCCUAUCUUGAGUCUGAAUAUUCAUGUGGCAUGAUCAGAUUCUGACCUGCAUGAAAACAAUUCCUCACCAUUUGAAAGAAUGUGACAAGAAAGCUUGAAUGCAUUAAGAAUGUAGAUAACAACAGCUUGAAGUCUGCCAUGGAUCACAUUUUAGAAGCUCGGCAAAAAGGAGAGCCACGCUGCAAAUGCCAAAGACAUGAAAUUUAUCAUAGAGAUGGUUAUUCAUGCACUUUUUACCUUAAAAAUUUGAAGUACUCGUAGAGACAUGAUAUUUAUAUGUAUGCAAUUUUAGAUAGAAGUUGCAGAUAAAUUUCAAUUUUUUGUAUUGAUAUAUUUAUUGAUUCA